GUCGGUAUCGAUUAGGGGUUAAAUCACUUCGUUGUGGUCGUCCCAUGAACACUGAAUUAUCCGAAGAGCCGCUGGUUCGAUUCCAGCUACCGACA
This is a non-coding RNA of Crucibulum laeve, 95 nucleotides long. The record is from the annotation of a GenBank genome assembly. Lineage: Eukaryota; Fungi; Basidiomycota; Agaricomycetes; Agaricales; Nidulariaceae.